AUGAUAUUAUUUCAAAAUAAGAGGAUAAAUUGCCUGCAUUUGCAAAUUUGUAUUUCACAGUCGACAGGAAUCGAGAAGAAACAUAUAUGGCAGUUCAGGAGAGAGGUCAGGUGUCCAUUUUGCAUCGUUGGCCAACGUGCUGCCGAUGCUGCCAGAGAAGCAUAUUUGCACGAGGUGAGCAGAAGAAGCAGCCUCCCCGUGGACAUUACCCCUUGCCAAGUGGUGAUGGCAUCACGGACGCCUGCGGAUGUGCAUCAGCAGUCGACACGAUGUCCCGAAGAUGCACUGGUAAGGGAGCGCAUACCCGAGAGGUGGUGA
RNAcentral lists this ribosomal RNA (318 nucleotides) under Triticum aestivum (bread wheat). RNAcentral's name for it is "partial small subunit ribosomal RNA". Lineage: Eukaryota; Viridiplantae; Streptophyta; Magnoliopsida; Poales; Poaceae. The record is from RNAcentral.